GCAAGUCGAACGGUAACAGGAAGCAGCUUGCUGCUUCGCUGACGAGUGGCGGACGGGUGAGUAAUGUCUGGGAAGCUGCCUGAUGGAGGGGGAUAACUACUGGAAACGGUAGCUAAUACCGCAUAAUGUCGCAAGACCAAAGAGGGGGACCUUCGGGCCUCUUGCCAUCGGAUGUGCCCAGAUGGGAUUAGCUUGUUGGUGGGGCAACGGCUCACCAAGGCGACGAUCCCUAGCUGGUCUGAGAGGAUGACCAGCCACACUGGAACUGAGACACGGUCCAGACUCCUACGGGAGGCAGCAGUGGGGAAUAUUGCACAAUGGGCGCAAGCCUGAUGCAGCCAUGCCGCGUGUAUGAAGAAGGCCUUCGGGUUGUAAAGUACUUUCAGCGGGGAGGAAGGGAGUAAAGUUAAUACCUUUGCUCAUUGACGUUACCCGCAGAAGAAGCACCGGCUAACUCCGUGCCAGCAGCCGCGGUAAUACGGAGGGUGCAAGCGUUAAUCGGAAUUACUGGGCGUAAAGCGCACGCAGGCGGUUUGUUAAGUCAGAUGUGAAAUCCCCGGGCUCAACCUGGGAACUGCAUCUGAUACUGGCAAGCUUGAGUCUCGUAGAGGGGGGUAGAAUUCCAGGUGUAGCGGUGAAAUGCGUAGAGAUCUGGAGGAAUACCGGUGGCGAAGGCGGCCCCCUGGACGAAGACUGACGCUCAGGUGCGAAAGCGUGGGGAGCAAACAGGAUUAGAUACCCUGGUAGUCCACGCCGUAAACGAUGUCGACUUGGAGGUUGUGCCCUUGAGGCGUGGCUUCCGGAGCUAACGCGUUAAGUCGACCGCCUGGGGAGUACGGCCGCAAGGUUAAAACUCAAAUGAAUUGACGGGGGCCCGCACAAGCGGUGGAGCAUGUGGUUUAAUUCGAUGCAACGCGAAGAACCUUACCUGGUCUUGACAUCCACGGAAGUUUUCAGAGAUGAGAAUGUGCCUUCGGGAACCGUGAGACAGGUGCUGCAUGGCUGUCGUCAGCUCGUGUUGUGAAAUGUUGGGUUAAGUCCCGCAACGAGCGCAACCCUUAUCCUUUGUUGCCAGCGGUCCGGCCGGGAACUCAAAGGAGACUGCCAGUGAUAAACUGGAGGAAGGUGGGGAUGACGUCAAGUCAUCAUGGCCCUUACGACCAGGGCUACACACGUGCUACAAUGGCGCAUACAAAGAGAAGCGACCUCGCGAGAGCAAGCGGACCUCAUAAAGUGCGUCGUAGUCCGGAUUGGAGUCUGCAACUCGACUCCAUGAAGUCGGAAUCGCUAGUAAUCGUGGAUCAGAAUGCCACGGUGAAUACGUUCCCGGGCCUUGUACACACCGCCCGUCACACCAUGGGAGUGGGUUGCAAAAGAAGUAGGUAGCUUAACCUUCGGGAGGGCGCUUACCACUUUGUGAUUCAUGACUGGGGUGAAGUCGUAACAAGGUAACCGUAGGGGAACCUGCGGUUG
This 1473-nucleotide ribosomal RNA is filed under the name metagenome. RNAcentral describes it as "bacterial SSU rRNA". It matches the Rfam family "Bacterial small subunit ribosomal RNA". The record is from RNAcentral.